UGACAUGGUGCACCAACCCUCAGGGCUGC
This 29-nucleotide non-coding RNA is filed under the name Rattus norvegicus (Norway rat). The record is from RNAcentral. Lineage: Eukaryota; Metazoa; Chordata; Mammalia; Rodentia; Muridae.